This is a non-coding RNA of Ciona intestinalis (vase tunicate), 212 nucleotides long. NCBI's taxonomy places the organism in Eukaryota, Metazoa, Chordata, Ascidiacea, Phlebobranchia, Cionidae. The record is from RefSeq and is a predicted model, not a curated record.
AUCGGUUUAGGUUAUUAUUUGUACAGUCAAAUAUCUUAUGAUAAAAUUUCUCUAAUAGAUCUUAAGUUUUUAUUGUGGUUAAUAAGAUUUUAUCCAAUAAUUGAAAAUGGCGAUACCAGAUAUUCGUGACCUGGCUGAAUUCAACAAAGCUCUGGCAGAUGCUGGUAAUAAAUUGGUGUUGGUUGAUUUCCAUGCUCUUUGGUGUGGUCCAU